CUUGACAUCCCCAUGCAGGAAGUGACAUCAUAUUGGAGGGAAACCAGCAGAACAAACAUCAUAAUUGAGAGGUGAUGAGAUGGGGGAUGAGUUUCUGGAACAGUAGCGGGGGAAGAAGAGAAGGUCUCUAUCCCACUGUGAGGCCACAUUCUUGGCUCUGCAUAGCUCCAGAGACGUCACCAGGGUCAUGAGGUGUUUCGCAUAACAAGGACGUUUUGAUGUUAAAGGCAAUUCAUCAAGCAUUACUUCUGCUCCCAGAGGCCAG
This is a long non-coding RNA of Sinocyclocheilus rhinocerous, 265 nucleotides long. RefSeq lists it as uncharacterized. The transcript has 3 exons. NCBI's taxonomy places the organism in Eukaryota, Metazoa, Chordata, Actinopteri, Cypriniformes, Cyprinidae. The record is from RefSeq and is a predicted model, not a curated record.